AUUUCAACGGGUCUUUCGGCCAAAAAUUGGUCAGAGCUCUUGAGUCAUUAAAAUCACCUUGAAUUUUUGGUCGGGCUUUCGGUAGGUGAACCUGCGGAAGGAUCAUUACUGAGUGAGGGCCCCUCGGGGUCCAACCUCCCACCCGUGUUUAACGAACCUUUGUUGCUUCGGCGGGCCCGCCUCACGGCCGCCGGGGGGCUCCCGCCCCCGGGCCCGCGCCCGCCGAAGCCCCCCCUUGAACGCUGUCUGAAGUUUGCAGUCUGAGAAACUAGCUAAAUUAGUUAAAACUUUCAACAACGGAUCUCUUGGUUCCGGCAUCGAUGAAGAACGCAGCGAAAUGCGAUAACUAAUGUGAAUUGCAGAAUUCAGUGAAUCAUCGAGUCUUUGAACGCACAUUGCGCCCUCUGGUAUUCCGGAGGGCAUGCCUGUCCGAGCGUCAUUGCUGCCCUCAAGCACGGCUUGUGUGUUGGGCCCCCGUCCCCCCCUCUGCCGGGGGGACGGGCCCGAAAGGCAGCGGCGGCACCGCGUCCGGUCCUCGAGCGUAUGGGGCUUCGUCACCCGCUUUAGGGGCCCGGCCGGCGCCAGCCGACCCCAACCCUAAAUUUUUUCAGGUGACCUCGGAUCAGUAGGUAGGAAAAGUCUCU
RNAcentral lists this unclassified non-coding RNA (644 nucleotides) under Penicillium sumatraense. RNAcentral's name for it is "sequence contains 18S rRNA gene, ITS1, 5.8S rRNA gene, ITS2 and 28S rRNA gene". The stretch from base 286 to 439 matches the Rfam family "5.8S ribosomal RNA". Lineage: Eukaryota; Fungi; Ascomycota; Eurotiomycetes; Eurotiales; Aspergillaceae. The record is from RNAcentral.